GAUUGUAACGCGUGGAUAACCUGCCUGUUAGACCGGGAUAACUCCGGGAAACCGGAGCUAAUACCGGAUACGAAUUACCGAUCGCAUGAUUGGUAAUUGAAAGGAUUUCCGCUAACAGAUGGGUCCGCGUCCCAUUAGCUAGUUGGUGGGGUAACGGCCCACCAAGGCGACGAUGGGUAGCCGGCCUGAGAGGGCGACCGGCCACACUGGGACUGAGACACGGCCCAGACUCCUACGGGAGGCAGCAGUGGGGAAUAUUCCGCAAUGGGGGAAACCCUGACGGAGCAAUGCCGCGUGAGGGACGAAUGCCUUCGGGUUGUAAACCUCUGUUCUAUGGGAAGAGAAUGACGGUACCAUAGGAGUAAGCCCCGGCUAACUACGUGCCAGCAGCCGCGGUAAUACGUAGGGGGCGAGCGUUGUCCGGAAUUACUGGGCGUAAAGGGCGUGUAGGCUGCUUAAUAAGUUAGAGGUGAAAUCCCGUGGCUUAACCACGGGACUGCCUCUAAACUGUUAGGCUUGAGUGCAGGAGAGGGAAGCGGAAUUCCUGGUGUAGCGGUGAAAUGCGUAGAUAUCAGGAGGAACACUGGUGGCGAAGGCGGCUUCCUGGCCUGUAACUGACGCUGAGGCGCGA
Molecule: ribosomal RNA, 631 nt
Filed under: uncultured Peptococcaceae bacterium
Lineage: Bacteria; Bacillati; Bacillota; Clostridia; Eubacteriales; Peptococcaceae
Description: bacterial SSU rRNA
Rfam family: Bacterial small subunit ribosomal RNA
Source: RNAcentral